GUCAGUUGGCUUUUUAACACUCAACUGAUGUGGUAAAUUUCACCUCUUAUGGUCUAAUUGUUAUUACAGCGUUCUCUAUCAUGAAUUCAGAUUUCCUGCUAUUGGUUUUUCUUGAUAGCGCAGGAAAGAGAUUUCGAAAAUCUCUUGACUUCACCCUUAUGCACCUUUCGAACAUUUUUUUCCACUCAUUAAACUUCUAGAUUGAGUUGGACCAAAAUCUUUUCAACAAAGCUAGGAGCAAAAGCUGAAGGGUGCUUUGUUUAAGGAAGGAAAUCGCUCCUUUUUUGAGUUUGCCUGCAUUCUUUAGAUGUGCCAGUAUUGCAAAGGCAAGACUGGGUUCACAAGAUGUGUUGGGGAAGGACAUGUUUCCGGUAGCUGAAGAGGCCAAUUGGCUUUUUAACAUUCAACUGAUUUGGUAAAUUCCACCUCCUUCAUGGUCCAGUUAUUAUUACAGCGUUUUUUAUCAUAAAAUUCAGAUUUCCUGCUAUUCGGUUUUCUUGAUAGCACAGGAAACAGAGAUUUUCGAAAAUCUCUUGACUUCACCGCUAUGCACCUGUCAAACAGUUUUUUUCUACUCAUUGGAGUUUCUAGAUUUGAGUUGGUCCAUAAUCUUUUCGACAAAGCUAGGAGCAAAAGCUGACUGGUGCUUUGUUUAAGGACAGAAGCCACUCCUUUUUUGAGUUUGCCUACAUUCUCUCGGUAGAUAGGGCACUCCCCUUUAUUGUCGCACAAUCUACUUGUGGGAUUACACUGGCUAUGUUGUUGAUCUACUUUCUCUGUGGCACAAGCUGUGCUGGCAUUGCAAAGGCAGGAAUGAGUUCACAACGUUUGAAUAAGCUAUUCGACCGAUUAAAGCUAAAAGGAGAAAGAGAGAUGACUCUAGUUGUUGAGUACCCUGAGGAAUGUGUGUCGAGACGGUGAUGUUAGGACUAGUUUCUGCACACGUAAUUGGACAAGUUUCUAAAGGGGCAAGAAGAGAAGAACUUAACUACUCCAUUUUUGCAAAUAGGAAUUCAAUUACCAUGUCGGGUUUGGCAUAACCUGCUGUACACCUAUUAUUAUGUGAAGAGUUAGUAGAAUGUAUCAUAGUAUUGUAUUUUUUUCUCUCUAUAAACAUAAGAUAUAGAGGGGCAGAAUUACCCGGUUAUGUGUAUAUAAUAUUUACCGGAUACUCCAAUUUCCUAAUAAUCUCAUUUUUCAGAGUAAAAUGAUUAAUGAGAUCCUGAACUUCUUUAGGAAUAUCCUUUUCUGGAUAGUUUGAAAUGACAGAGAGAAGGAUUUGCAUUUUCCUAUUUAACUCUCCAAUUGGUAAGAGAAGGUCGUUAUCAGAUUGUCUUGUUU
This is a long non-coding RNA of Lycium ferocissimum, 1341 nucleotides long. RefSeq lists it as uncharacterized. NCBI's taxonomy places the organism in Eukaryota, Viridiplantae, Streptophyta, Magnoliopsida, Solanales, Solanaceae. The record is from RefSeq and is a predicted model, not a curated record. The transcript is spliced from 2 exons.